UACGUAGGGUGCGAGCGUUAAUCGGAAUUACUGGGCGUAAAGCGUGCGCAGGCGGUGAGCUGUGUCCGAUGUGAAAGCCCCGGGCUUAACCUGGGAAUGGCCGUUGAAACUGGCGAACUGGAGUGUGGCAGAGGGGGGUGGAAUUCCGCGUGUAGCAGUGAAAUGCGUAGAGAUGCGGAGGAACACCGAUGGCGAAGGCAGCCCCCUGGGCUGACACUGACGCUCAGGCACGAAAGCGUGGGGAGCAAACAGG
RNAcentral lists this ribosomal RNA (253 nucleotides) under uncultured bacterium. RNAcentral's name for it is "partial 16S ribosomal RNA". It matches the Rfam family "Bacterial small subunit ribosomal RNA", at positions 524 to 776 of the family's 1533-position model. The record is from RNAcentral.